UGCGUAGGCGGUUUGAUAAGUCAGUUGUGAAAUUCCCCGGCUUAACCGGCGGGACUGCGAUUGUUACUGUCAAACUUGAAUCAGGUUGAGGUAGGCGGAAUGUGGCAUGUAGCGGUGAAAUGCAUAGAUAUGCCAUAGAACACCGAUUGCGAAGGCAGCUUGCUGGACCUUGAUUGACGCUGAGGCACGAAAGCGUGGGGAGCGAACAGGAUUAGAUACCCUGGUAGUCC
RNAcentral lists this ribosomal RNA (230 nucleotides) under uncultured bacterium. RNAcentral describes it as "partial 16S ribosomal RNA". It matches the Rfam family "Bacterial small subunit ribosomal RNA", at positions 568 to 796 of the family's 1533-position model. The record is from RNAcentral.